RNAcentral lists this ribosomal RNA (399 nucleotides) under uncultured bacterium. RNAcentral describes it as "partial 16S ribosomal RNA". It matches the Rfam family "Bacterial small subunit ribosomal RNA", at positions 338 to 754 of the family's 1533-position model. The record is from RNAcentral.
CCUACGGGAGGCAGCAGUAGGGAAUAUUGCUCAAUGGGGGAAACCCUGAAGCAGCAACGCCGCGUGGAGGAUGAAGGUUUUAGGAUUGUAAACUCCUUUUGUUAGAGAAGAUUAUGACGGUAUCUAACGAAUAAGCACCGGCUAACUCCGUGCCAGCAGCCGCGGUAAUACGGAGGGUGCAAGCGUUACUCGGAAGCACUGGGCGUACAGAGUGCGUAGGCGGGGGAAGAAGUCAGAUGUGAAAUCCUGUCGCUUAACGACAGAACUGCAUUUGAAACUGUUACUCUGGAGUGUGGGAGAGGUAGGUGGCAUUCUUGGUGUAGGGGUCAAAUCCGUAGAGAUCCAGAGGAAUACUCAUUGCGCCGGCGACCUGCUGGAACAUUACUGCCGCUGCUGCAC